CCCUUAGAUGUUCUGGGCCGCACGUGCGCUACACUGACAGAGCCAACGAGUUCUUCACUUUGGCCGGAAGGUCUGGGUAAUCUUGUUAAACUCUGUCGUGCUGGGGAUAGAGCAUUGCAAUUAUUGCUCUUCAACGAGGAAUGCCUAGUAAGCGCGUGUCAUCAGCACGCGUUGAUUACGUCCCUGCCCUUUGUACACACCGCCCGUCGCUACUACCGAUUGAAUGGCUCAGUGAGGCCUUCGGACUGGCUCAGGGAGGUUGGCAACGACCACCCCGAGCCGGAAAGUUCGUCAAACUCGGUCAUUUAGAGGAAGUAAAAGUCGUAACA
RNAcentral lists this ribosomal RNA (329 nucleotides) under uncultured eukaryote. Its description in RNAcentral is "partial 18S ribosomal RNA". It matches the Rfam family "Eukaryotic small subunit ribosomal RNA", at positions 1470 to 1796 of the family's 1831-position model. The record is from RNAcentral.